This 339-nucleotide unclassified non-coding RNA is filed under the name soil metagenome. Its description in RNAcentral is "partial contains 5.8S ribosomal RNA, internal transcribed spacer 2, and large subunit ribosomal RNA". The stretch from base 1 to 120 matches the Rfam family "5.8S ribosomal RNA", at positions 35 to 154 of the family's 154-position model. The record is from RNAcentral.
GAUGAAGAACGUAGCGAAAUGCGAUAAGUAAUGCGAAUUGCAGAAUUCCGUGAGUCAUCGAAUCUUUGAACGCACAUUGCGCCCUCUGGUAUUCCGGAGGGCAUGCCUGUCUGAGCGUCAUUGUCAACCCUCAAGCUCAGCUUGCUGUUGGGUCCCCGUCGUUGCUUUAACGGCGGACCCGAAAGGUAAUGGCAGAGUCCGUGAGACCCUAGACGCAGCGAGCUUCUAGCACGCGUCUGGACGUUUUUCGGGCUCGGUCUUAACUAGAUGAUAACUUCCGAUUGACCUCAGAUCAGGUAGGGAUACCCGCUGAACUUAAGCAUAUCAAUAAGCCGAGGA